AAUCCUUACCUGUGCUAACCCUGAGAAGCGAAGCCAGAGGGAAGUCUCUGAGCUGUGAGUUACCCUGAUUCUACACUGGAAGUUAGGGGUAGAAGGACACAGGAGCCCAGCACUUAUAGCCAGUGGCCCUGAGGGUCUCUUCCAGCUUCACCUCAUGACACCCCGUGCUGCUGCGUGACUGCUGCCGUUGCCAAGGCCACCACUGCUACGAGCCUGAAUGGCUAACGCUGAGAUUAGCAGGGCCUCCCUUCCACCAGCCUGUCCUCCUGGCUCUCCUCCCUUUUGCCUCUUCUGGAUCUCAGGCUAGAGUGUGGCAUGAUCUCGGCUCACUGCAACCUCUGCCUCCCAGGUUCAAGCAAAUUCUCCCGCCUCAGCCUCCCGAGUAGCUGGGACUACAGAUCUCCUCUGAUGCACCAGCCUGGGAUGUACUGUGAAAAUCAGCUACCUGGGCUUCCCACCUGUGGAUGCUCACUGACCUGGGGCCAUGCCAGGUGAUUUUAGGACUUCCUCAGAGAAAAUCCAGGCAAGACACCAGCAACAGAACUAGCCUGAUGAUUAUUAAAUUAGCUCUAUGUGGAGAAGCCAUAUUUGAAUAACUUAUUAGUGGAAGCCCUUUGUAAACCAUGCUCCAUUAUAUAAAUGGCAGAUGUCAUUAUUUA
This is a non-coding RNA of Macaca mulatta (Rhesus monkey), 659 nucleotides long. NCBI's taxonomy places the organism in Eukaryota, Metazoa, Chordata, Mammalia, Primates, Cercopithecidae. The record is from RefSeq and is a predicted model, not a curated record.